Molecule: ribosomal RNA, 1077 nt
Filed under: uncultured Bacillus sp.
Lineage: Bacteria; Bacillati; Bacillota; Bacilli; Caryophanales; Bacillaceae
Description: bacterial SSU rRNA
Rfam family: Bacterial small subunit ribosomal RNA
Source: RNAcentral
CCUGCCACAGCGAUACCAUGCAGUCGUACGAGGUAGCUAUACAUUGCUACCUAACCUAGCGGCGGACGGGUGAGUAAUCGCUUAGGAAUCUGCCUAUUAGUGGGGGACAACAUUCCGAAAGGGAUGCUAAUACCGCAUACGUCCUACGGGAGAAAGCAGGGGAUCUUCGGACCUUGCGCUAAUAGAUGAGCCUAAGUCGGAUUAGCUAGUUGGUGGGGUAAAGGCCUACCAAGGCGACGAUCUGUAGCGGGUCUGAGAGGAUGAUCCGCCACACUGGGACUGAGACACGGCCCAGACUCCUACGGGAGGCAGCAGUGGGGAAUAUUGGACAAUGGGGGGAACCCUGAUCCAGCCAUGCCGCGUGUGUGAAGAAGGCCUUAUGGUUGUAAAGCACUUUAAGCGAGGAGGAGGCUACUUAGAUUAAUACUCUAGGAUAGUGGACGUUACUCGCAGAAUAAGCACCGGCUAACUCUGUGCCAGCAGCCGCGGUAAUACAGAGGGUGCGAGCGUUAAUCGGAUUUACUGGGCGUAAAGCGUGCGUAGGCGGCUAUUUAAGUCAAAUGUGAAAUCCCCGAGCUUAACUUGGGAAUUGCAUUCGAUACUGGAUGGCUAGAGUAUGGGAGAGGAUGGUAGAAUUCCAGGUGUAGCGGUGAAAUGCGUAGAGAUCUGGAGGAAUACCGAUGGCGAAGGCAGCCAUCUGGCCUAAUACUGACGCUGAGGUACGAAAGCAUGGGGAGCAAACAGGAUUAGAUACCCUGGUAGUCCAUGCCGUAAACGAUGUCUACUAGCCGUUGGGGGCCUUUGAGGCUUUAGUGCGCAGCUAACGCGAUAAGUAGACCGCCCUGGGGGAGUACGGUCGCAAGACUAAAAACUCAAAUGAAUUUGACGGGGGCCCGCACAAGCGGGUGGAGCAUGGUGGUUUUAAUUCGAUGCAACGCGAAAGAACCCUUACCCUGGUCUUUGAACAUAGUUAGGACUUUCAGAGAUGGAUUUGCUGGCCUUUCGGUACCUACAAUAACAGUGCUGCAUUGGCCUGUCGUCAGCUCGUUCUUGAAGAAAUGUUUUGGGAUAUACGUC